GAUGAACGCUGGCGGCGUGCCUAAUACAUGCGAGUCGAGCGAACAGACGAGGAGCUUGCUCCUCUGACGUUAGCGGCGGACGGGUGAGUAACACGUGGAUAACCUACCUAUAAGACUGGGAUAACUUCGGGAAACCGGAGCUAAUACCGGAUAAUAUAUUGAACCGCAUGGUUCAAUAGUGAAAGACGGUUUUGCUGUCACUUAUAGAUGGAUCCGCGCCGCAUUAGCUAGUUGGUAAGGUAACGGCUUACCAAGGCGACGAUGCGUAGCCGACCUGAGAGGGUGAUCGGCCACACUGGAACUGAGACACGGUCCAGACUCCUACGGGAGGCAGCAGUAGGGAAUCUUCCGCAAUGGGCGAAAGCCUGACGGAGCAACGCCGCGUGAGUGAUGAAGGUCUUCGGACCGUAAAACUCUGUUAUUAGGGAAGAACAAAUGUGUAAGUAACUAUGCACGUCUUGACGGUACCUAAUCAGAAAGCCACGGCUAACUACGUG
This 497-nucleotide ribosomal RNA is filed under the name uncultured bacterium. RNAcentral's name for it is "partial 16S ribosomal RNA". It matches the Rfam family "Bacterial small subunit ribosomal RNA", at positions 28 to 507 of the family's 1533-position model. The record is from RNAcentral.